This 413-nucleotide ribosomal RNA is filed under the name uncultured bacterium. RNAcentral describes it as "bacterial SSU rRNA". It matches the Rfam family "Bacterial small subunit ribosomal RNA", at positions 29 to 429 of the family's 1533-position model. The record is from RNAcentral.
AACGAACGUUAGCGGCGCGCUUAACACAUGCAAGUCGCACGAGAAAGGGCUUCGGCCCCGGUAAAGUGGCGCACGGGUGAGUAACACGUGGGUAAUCUGCCCUCGAGCGGGGGAUAACAUCUCGAAAGGGAUGCUAAUACCGCAUAAGACCACAGCCUCGAAAGAGGCAGCGGUCAAAGCAGGCCUCUGUAUACAAGCUUGCACUUGAGGAUGAGCCCGCGGCCCAUCAGCUAGUUGGCAGGGUAACGGCCUACCAAGGCGACGACGGGUAGCUGGUCUGAGAGGAUGAUCAGCCACACUGGAACUGAGACACGGUCCAGACUCCUACGGGAGGCAGCAGUGGGGAAUCUUGCGCAAUGGGCGAAAGCCUGACGCAGCGACGCCGCGUGGGUGAUGAAGGCCUCGGUUGUAAG